This 301-nucleotide ribosomal RNA is filed under the name uncultured bacterium. Its description in RNAcentral is "partial 16S ribosomal RNA". It matches the Rfam family "Bacterial small subunit ribosomal RNA", at positions 509 to 807 of the family's 1533-position model. The record is from RNAcentral.
CAGCCGCCGCGGUAAUACGUAGGUGGCAAGCGUUGUCCGGAAUUAUUGGGCGUAAAGGGCUCGCAGGCGGUUUCUUAAGUCUGAUGUGAAAGCCCCCGGCUCAACCGGGGAGGGUCAUUGGAAACUGGGAAACUUGAGUGCAGAAGAGGAGAGUGGAAUUCCACGUGUAGCGGUGAAAUGCGUAGAGAUGUGGAGGAACACCAGUGGCGAAGGCGACUCUCUGGUCUGUAACUGACGCUGAGGGGCGAAAGCGUGGGGAGCGAACAGGAUUAGAUACCCCGGUAGUCCCUGUCUCUUAUAC